Molecule: long non-coding RNA, 985 nt
Filed under: Actinidia chinensis (golden kiwifruit)
Lineage: Eukaryota; Viridiplantae; Streptophyta; Magnoliopsida; Ericales; Actinidiaceae
Description: long non-coding RNA (ACHI_LNC006293)
Source: RNAcentral
UAGCCCAGAGUCCAGCCUAGUCCAAAAUUAAUACAGCCCAUAGCCCAGCCCAAAAUCAUAAAAGAUGUUAAGUAUAGCCCAGCAAAAGUCCUAGGGAAUCCAGCCCAAAAUUUGUACAUCCAGAGCCCAGCUUAGCCCAAAAUCAAUACAACCCAAAGCCUUGAGCCCAGCACAAAAUCAUAAAAGCCCAGCACAAAAUAUCAAAAUCCCUAAUUUGUGUAUUCUAAAGCCGUAGAUUCUAACCGAGAGGCUCUCAGUGCUGCGUCUGCUUCCUCAUCCACGGUCCAGUGAUUCUAGUUGUCUUCAACCGAGAGGCUCUCAGUGCUCUCCUUGUCCAGACUCCUCAAUCCUCACGAAGUCACGAUCUGUCUCUCAAAUAGCCAACAGGUAAACCGUAAACCAAAAAUCAAUAAAUGUGAUUUCGAAUUUGUAGGUUGGUUCUAUUAUCUAUACGUUUGUGUAUUGUAUGCGAGACCGUGUCUAUUUUAUUGAUUAUUUGUGUUUUUUAUGAUUUAUUUUGUACAGAUUAGAACCACUAAACCAGAGAAAUUAUUUUGUAGAAUCGGGAUCCCGAUUGUGAUUAUUAUGAAUACGAUUGUUCUCUGUACGGUUGUUCUCUGAACCACUAAACCAGAGAAAAUCAAUUUAUUUUGUUGGUUCUAUUAUCUACUGUUGUUCUUUGUAUAAAUUAAGUCAUUGAAACUAAGCCAAAAAUGGUGCAAAUGGUUGAUACAAUUUUUUUUAUUUCUUUGUGUCGAAAAUCGAGAUCAUUAUGAAUCCCAAGAUGGUCCCAGUGAACAAGAGGUUAAUUAUGACUUUCCUUUUGUAAUUGGUACCCAGUACGUGAAAGUUGAAACACUUCUACAAGGAAUAUUAUUUUUGUUUUUAACUGUUUAGUCCAUAUCAAUAGUUUGUUUUUAAUUACUAUUUACUAUUUUUAUUUUUAAGUGUUUAGUCCAUAUCAAUUAGUAUAGAUCUAAAAAAU